Molecule: long non-coding RNA, 1264 nt
Organism: Cylas formicarius (sweet potato weevil)
Lineage: Eukaryota; Metazoa; Arthropoda; Insecta; Coleoptera; Brentidae
Exons: 3
Source: RefSeq, a predicted model, not a curated record
AAAACAAUUAAGGAACACUAAAAACAAAAUUGGAUACCUCUAUUUCAAGUAUUAUCAACUUUCGAAAUCAAUACGUUUGGUCAAAUUGCUACUUUCUGUAUGUUCAUUGAAAAAAUUUAAUUUGGCAACACAGAGGGAAGCAAAAUGGUGCACUGAAUGAAAAGUAUAAAUAAAUGGAGGCAAUUUAAUGCUUGGUGUAGACGGAGUAUACCAUAUAGUAUAUUUUAUUUAUUUCACUGCGCGCAUCAUUUUGCUUCCAUUUACGGAAAAACUAGACAGCGUCGCUGGGCGAUAUUCUAAGGUUAAAUCAUAAUCUCGGAUGCAUAUUAGUUAUCCAACUCGCAUGGUUUAAGUAUGUGCAAAAUGAAGAAUGAAGUAAAACAGGAGAUUGAAAGGGUUGAGGUAAGUUAUUAUUCUUUUAUGUAAUAAAAUCAGAGUCAAGAUGUUAAAUUGUUAACUAAGAAAAAUGAUGAUAUUAUAUUUUAGUAACUUUUGCAGGGUGAUUUUUCGCCACAUUCUACAUUCGACAAUAGCGAUGCCGACGCAGAAUUUUUUCCAGAUAGAUCGCCGUCAGACUCAGAAAUAGAGAUCUGUAAAUUUAAGAAGAAAAUUACGGUUUUGCAGAAUAUUCGAGUGCAAAAUUCAGAGGAAUCUCAACCAGACUCUGACGAAACAAAACUAAAUACAAAAAUAAACACAAUUAAAGCUUUGAGAAAUACAAAAGAAAAUAUUGCCAUGCACAAACUGCUUGGGAUUUUACAGAUCGAAAUUUUUAUAUCGACACACAAAGAAAUGCACAGGGGCUAGUUCAUCAAAAAAUGCUCAAGUUGCAAGUCAAAACUUUUUGAUAAAAAAUUUGACCCGAAUUGACCAAUAAUUAAAAGAUCAGGUUUUUCCUAGAAUGAGACCUGAUAAGAUUUCUUUAGAGGCAAAGAAUGACUUUUUAAUAUGUGCCUUUGGAGCUCGUUAUCUUAAGACACAUUGCGAAAAACAUUUUAUUAAUGUUACAAGUAGAAAAAUGCGAGAGUUGUCAAGAAUUUUAUUAGAGCUUAAAAAAAUGGAUCCAAACAUAGCAAAUCUAUUUGAAGCAUUGCAUCCAAAGCACUACGAUAAACUGGUGGAAGCUACAAAAUCUGUGGCCAGAUUUGAUAGCAUAAAGGAAGUGUUUCCACAUCUCUGAGACAGUGUUGCGAUAUUGCAACUUAUAUGACCCUAAAAAGUGAACCGUCAGUUGAAACGGCAAAUAUUGAAUCUCGAUUUAAAA